Molecule: non-coding RNA, 21 nt
Filed under: Arabidopsis thaliana (thale cress)
Lineage: Eukaryota; Viridiplantae; Streptophyta; Magnoliopsida; Brassicales; Brassicaceae
Also listed under: 2 other names
Source: RNAcentral
AGCUGCUAAGCUAUGGAUCCC